This is a long non-coding RNA of Portunus trituberculatus (swimming crab), 714 nucleotides long. RefSeq lists it as uncharacterized. Lineage: Eukaryota; Metazoa; Arthropoda; Malacostraca; Decapoda; Portunidae. The record is from RefSeq and is a predicted model, not a curated record. The transcript is spliced from 3 exons.
GAAUAAACGAGAAAUAGAGGCGGAAUAGGAGAAGGAGCUAAGAUGUUUGUCGGGUUCCUGAAGAUGCGUCGACGUGUUAUCAUCCACGCAAGCUUCCCCAACCCAGCCAGUGUACCACAGGACGGGAGGAGGAAGCCAGCGGCUGCAUGCACCAUUGAACAGGACGGCAUUGUAUUCCUCCCACAGGAGUGACUACAGCGAAGCAAGCCCAGAAUAAAGUGUUGAGUGACCGUGAUGAUUCAGUACUACUAACACCAAAGAAGUGAGGGAAGUGUUUGGAGUGAACGUGCAAGACAUACAACAGAUACGAGACUGCUGCUGCUGCUGUUACAGCCGGGUUAGCCAAAGGAACAAAAGGUCUGGAGCAGGAGGAAGAAGAGGGUGAUUCUUGGAAACGUAUCAAUGAAGUUGUGAAGGUUGGCCACAAAUCUUCAUCACUGGUGUAGUGUAUUUCAUUGACUAUUUGUAACAUAACAUAACAUAAAUAAUAGGAUAAUAAAGGGCCUCCAAGGCCCAUCUAGGUUAUCCUGUAUCAUUGGCACAGCGACCUCGUCAUCAGUACUUAAAGAUACACUUAGAAGUACACAGUACAUUAUGUACUAAUUCUAAAUAUUUGGCCCAUUAACAGGGCUAAGUCCUGCAGCGAUUUCCUCUACACUCUGUGAUCCCCAUACAUGGGGAUCAUGUCUUGUUUAACUCUAAUAAUUCCCGGUU